Molecule: long non-coding RNA, 395 nt
Filed under: Elaeis guineensis (African oil palm)
Lineage: Eukaryota; Viridiplantae; Streptophyta; Magnoliopsida; Arecales; Arecaceae
Description: long non-coding RNA (EGUI_LNC016411)
Source: RNAcentral
CAAGGGUAAAAUUAUAAUUUCACUGAAAUUCUGAUUUGAUAGUAUCAUUUGAUAGAACAAAUGAUUUGUAAACUAUUGGUGAAAAUUUCAUUGUAUUUGGACUUAUAUUUUUGAAGUUAUGAAGGUUUGAAGUGCAUGAGUCGACUCAUGAGUCAACUCAUGGCACUGUGAGCUGAUUGGCACGCAAAAUAUUUUCAUGGCACGCUGGAUUUUUGACUUGGCACGACCUGUGAGUCGACUCAUGAGUCGACUUCUGCUGAUUUGAGCCGAAAAAUUCAGAAAUCAGACCUUCUGGUCUGUGCAACAGAAGUCGACUCAUGAGUCGACUCCUGAUGCAUGAGUCGACUCAUGAGUCGACCCCUGCGACGGAAAAUAUCAGCAACGGCUAUUUUUUU